GGGUGGUGGAGAGCCAAAAAAAAACGGUUAGCUUACGCCCAGCAUCUCCUCCCAAGCGGUUCGCGGGUGUGCCGUACCGUAGUUUACCGUAGAGACCAAAAAUAACGCAUGAUGAUUUCAUAUGCGGCUAAUUUUAGAACACGAAAAGUAAACCUUGCCUGGCCGCUCAUUCAAGCGGCCGUGUACUCUAAGCGAGGUUCUCGGAUGGUUCACGAGCAUUAUGGUCGCGCGCAGUACUAUCGAGAGGAAAUUACGCCCGCAUGCCUAAUGGAACACUCUCCCAAUGAUGAUGAUGAUGGUUUGGUACCACAUUUGGGCAGCAGUUUUUCCGUUCGCCCAACGAUUUCCACACGAGAUGCUGGAAAAAGGUUAGACGUUGCCCGAGUAUUCGAACGGGGCAGCAAUGCGUUUAAUGCGAGAACCAGGAAAUCAGUUUCUACUACUACUGCUGCGCGAUUCCAGUAGGCCGCUGCUGCUGAUGCAUUCCCCUGUUAUCAGUAUCUCUAUGUACAGUCGUAUACGGAGGAGGCCUUGGGUUCCAGUUACAGCAAAAGUCUGCUGGUUAUCGUCGAGGAAUGAGUGAGUGUUUGUGUUUUACACCCCAUUGCUCCCCUGGCCGGCGGCCCUUUCCGUUGCUUUCCGGGAAUUGCUUCUUUUCGUUCGACAGUGCCUUAUUUUAUGAAUCACGCCCGAUAGCAUCCGCCUUUUGCCACCGAUAAACGCAUGAACAGUGGCGUGCUCUUUACCUCCUAUUCCUCGUCAUUAGACUUAGAGCGCAAUUGGAUUUUUCACACAACACAACCACCACAAAGAAGGUAUACACGCCCCAGUGCCUUAUCUUGAGGUGGGGAGGGUGAGCGCAAUAGGUCUAACACGCACGCACACACACGACGCACCAGAUGCAGAAAUAGUGCCUCAUUUUUCACUUUUACCAACUACAAAUCGACCGUACACCACCGCCCACACGCCAAGCUGCAAUUUAAUGAUCCACACGUACCUGUUUCGACGCGGUUGAGGAUGUUUUUCACACGGAAAAUUGCACGGAAAAUGUUCGGGUGUAUCGAGCGAAGAGGAGCCACGGCGAAGACG
Long non-coding RNA from Anopheles merus, 1089 nucleotides. RefSeq lists it as uncharacterized. The transcript has 3 exons. The record is from RefSeq and is a predicted model, not a curated record. Lineage: Eukaryota; Metazoa; Arthropoda; Insecta; Diptera; Culicidae.